AAAAUGCGAUAAGUAGUGUGAAUUGCAGAAUUCAGUGAAUCAUCGAAUCUUUGAACGCACAUUGCGCCCCUUGGUAUUCCAUGGGGCAUGCCUGUUCGAGCGUCAUUUGUACCCUCAAGCUCUGCUUGGUGUUGGGUGUUUGUCCCCGUCUCCGCGCGUGGACUCGCCCCAAAGUGAUUGGCAGCCGGCGUACUGGUCCCGGAGCGCAGCACAUGUCGCGCAAACGAGUGCCUUGGUACGGCGGCGUCCAUAAGCCCCUCUCUCACGCUCUUGACCUCGGAUCAGGUAGGGAUACCCGCUGAACUUAAGC
This 310-nucleotide unclassified non-coding RNA is filed under the name plant metagenome. RNAcentral's name for it is "partial contains 5.8S ribosomal RNA, internal transcribed spacer 2, and large subunit ribosomal RNA". The stretch from base 1 to 105 matches the Rfam family "5.8S ribosomal RNA", at positions 50 to 154 of the family's 154-position model. The record is from RNAcentral.